RNAcentral lists this ribosomal RNA (460 nucleotides) under uncultured bacterium. RNAcentral describes it as "partial 16S ribosomal RNA". It matches the Rfam family "Bacterial small subunit ribosomal RNA", at positions 338 to 795 of the family's 1533-position model. The record is from RNAcentral.
CCUACGGGAGGCAGCAGUGAGGAAUAUUGGUCAAUGGACGGAAGUCUGAACCAGCCAUGCCGCGUGCAGGAAGACGGCUCUAUGAGUUGUAAACUGCUUUUGUACAAGGGUAAACCUGAAUACGUGUAUUCAGCUGAACGUACUGUACGAAUAAGGAUCGGCUAACUCCGUGCCAGCAGCCGCGGUAAUACGGAGGAUCCAAGCGUUAUCCGGAUUUAUUGGGUUUAAAGGGUGCGUAGGCGGAUUGAUAAGUUAGAGGUGAAAGGCCCGAGCUUAACUCGGGAACUGCCUCUAAUACUGUUGAUCUAGAGAGUAGAUGCGGUAGGCGGAAUGUAUGGUGUAGCGGUGAAAUGCUUAGAGAUCAUACAGAACACCGAUUGCGAAGGCAGCUUACCAAUCUAUAUCUGACGUUGAGGCACGAAAGCGUGGGGAGCAAACAGGAUUAGAUACCCCUGUAGUC